AUUCUGAAAAAGGAUUGUGUCCCUGUGUAAGUGUUGACUCUCAACUUGCACAUGUGAUUUUUUAGCAGUCCCCGGACUUCUGCAAAAAACAAUUAUUCAGUUCACUGAUUAAGAUGGAAGGGCAAGAACAUGAAAGAUAAAGGGGAAACUAUAAACAGAAGAAAUUAUCAACAAAAUAAGAUUUACAGAGGUCAACAAAGCCUAAAUGGUCAGGCAUCCCAAUUUUCAUGGUCAUCAUUCACAGAUCAAUACUGAACGGAAAACUUAAAGCUGAUAUUUUUCUCCAUGGUGCGACUUUUUUAUUAAUUUGAAAUGGAACAUGUUUUUUCCUACAUUUAUUUGAAAGAGGAAAUUUCAACAUGAUGACUAUAAACAAAAAGGAGUCAUAUCAUCACGAUCAUUGAUGCACAAGAACUUGAUCAUAUAAAUACAACAAUGUAAUUAUCAAUUGAAAGAUGGAACGAAUGAACAAGAUAUUAGAAUGUUGUUGUCCAAAUAAAGUUGCUUUGUCUUCUCAUUUGAAUCUCUCCAUUCAAUAAAGAUGUACAGAAGAAGAUCUUUGAAGAACAGAUUGAAAACAUAUUUUGUCUAAGAAUUGCAGGAAUAUUCUAGUGAAUGAAAUAUAUUGACUUCACUCUUAUAUAGUGGACUGAAUAAUUGUACAUAGCAAGCUGUGAAUAAAGAAAGCAAAAACUUUAACAAAAAGUGUUUAUAUUAUAAAUUUGCAAAUAUAAGCAUACUAUUAUGUACAUCACAAAGGUAUAUAUAAUUCAAAUUGUUUGCCUAUACAAGUAUUGCAAUGAACCUAUAACAAAGAAAAUCUUACCUCAUGAAAAGAGUGAACUAUUCAGUCAGAAUAUGAAAUAUUUUUUCAGUUCUAUUUUUCAUAAUAGAAUAAACAAGACAAAGAUUUCAAAACAAUAUUUUUUCAUUUAUUUAGAAAUUUCAUCAUUUUG
Mytilus trossulus (common blue mussel) is the source of this 956-nucleotide long non-coding RNA. RefSeq lists it as uncharacterized. The record is from RefSeq and is a predicted model, not a curated record. Lineage: Eukaryota; Metazoa; Mollusca; Bivalvia; Mytilida; Mytilidae. The transcript is spliced from 3 exons.